GAGAUGCUGUCACAUUAUGUCCACAGUCUGGAUUCAGAGAGAGAAGAACUGCUGGUAAUCCACUCCCUUUGUCCUUUUUAUUUAAUCAGGGACUCCAGAUGUUUAAAUACCUUUUUGUGCAUAUCUUCUCAGGAUUAUUAUUUUACACCAACAUACUAGGGGCACCUGGGGCAGGGUCACUGUUCUUUCGGGCUGGUUAGUAAAUGGUAGUUAUUAUAAAUGUUUUUCUUAUUAUAGACAUCCUGCACUGGGGCAUGCAAUUCAAUGGCCUAUGAUAGUUUCUAUCCAAAAAUAGCAUAUAAGAAUAAAUAUGAUGUUGUAGGGCAUUGUUGAGUUUUAACAUUUUAACAUUCACCUGGUGAUGAUAUAAGCAAGCACAUCUUGCUUGAUGUGCAGCAGUGAUCUGCAAUAUUUUUUCUGUGUAGGCUAGACCUUUUCCGGGUAUGAGGUGUGGUAUCUACUCAUCUGUCCAUCAAUACUGUAUUGUACCCCAAGAGCAUGUGAGAUUUUAAUCAAGGAAGUGAAAUCAUCAGAGUGGAGUGGUAAAAGCUGUCCUGAGGAAAAGAUGAUCACACUCAAAUUUAUUGAGGGCUCCCUGAAUAGUGAGGUCCUUGUCAAGAUGGGGCUGCCCUAUAAAACCUAGAGAUGGAAGAGCACGUUGAGUGCACACAGUGACACACAAAGGAAGAAGGGCCAGACAAGAAGGAAUAAAGAGGAAGAAGGGCUAAGAGGAAGCUAAACUGGGAGAUAAAAGUUCAUCAUGGCAGGAAGGUGUGAUAGCAAGCAGCAGGAAUGUGAUCAGGACCAGGAAGCUAAGAGAUCUCAUCUUCAACCACAGACAUGAAGCAGAGAGAGAAGCAGAAGUAGGGCUAGUCUAAAAUCUCUCAAAACCCACCCUCAGUGAUGUACCCCUCAGCAAGGCUGUACUACCUCUCCAAACAGCA
Molecule: non-coding RNA, 944 nt
Organism: Peromyscus maniculatus bairdii (prairie deer mouse)
Lineage: Eukaryota; Metazoa; Chordata; Mammalia; Rodentia; Cricetidae
Source: RefSeq, a predicted model, not a curated record